AGAGUUUGAUCCUGGCUCAGGACGAACGCUGGCGGCGUGCUUAACACAUGCAAGUCGAACGAGGUCCACUGAGUAGCAAUACAAGGGAAGACCUAGUGGCGAACGGGUGAGUAUCACGUGAGAAACCAACCCCGGUCUCUGGGAUAACAGUUGGAAACGACUGCUAAUACUGGAUGUCGUCGUACCCUCGCAUGGGGGGAUGACGAAAGGGUUACCGGAUCGGGACGGUCUCGCGGCCUAUCAGCUUGUUGGGGAGGUAACGGCUCACCAAGGCUUCGACGGGUAGCUGGUCUGAGAGGAUGAUCAGCCACACUGGGACUGAGACACGGCCCAGACUCCUACGGGAGGCAGCAGUGGGGAAUCUUGCGCAAUGGGCGAAAGCCUGACGCAGCAACGCCGCGUGCGGGAUGAAGGCCUUCGGGUUGUAAACCGCUUUUAACAGGAACGAAAAUGACGGUACCUGUAGAAUAAGGUGCGGCCAACUACGUGCCAGCAGCCGCGGUGACACGUAGGCACCAAGCGUUGUCCGGAUUUAUUGGGCGUAAAGAGCUCGUAGGCGGUUCAGUAAGUCGGGUGUGAAAACUCUGGGCUUAACCCAGAGACGCCACUCGAUACUACUGUGACUAGAGUUCGGUAGGGGAGCGGGGAAUUCCUAGUGUAGCGGUGAAAUGCGCAGAUAUUAGGAGGAACACCGGUGGCGAAGGCGCCGCUCUGGGCCGAUACUGACGCUGNNNNNCGAAAGCGUGGGUAGC
This 752-nucleotide ribosomal RNA is filed under the name uncultured bacterium. RNAcentral's name for it is "bacterial SSU rRNA". It matches the Rfam family "Bacterial small subunit ribosomal RNA", at positions 8 to 769 of the family's 1533-position model. The record is from RNAcentral.